GUUCCUGUUCAUACAAUGCCAUGUGCCAUAGAAACUAAUGUUCCCGAAGUCGAAUUGCUAGGAGUUAAAAGCAAGUCUGCUGCAGUUGUUUUUGGUUGUUCAGAGUUUCACCCGGUCAACGGUCAGGUUUUUUUGUUAUCUGGUAAAAGGAUAACUCGACAGACGGACCCAGUCUGAAGCAAGCCUCAUUGAGGAGCAGCGAUUCCACAGUUCCAGUUAACUGGAUGGCGAGUCAACCCAAAAGUGAACAGGAUUUGCAGAGGUUUUAUUGAAGCCAAAGUUUCAUUCCCAUUGAAGCUUCCGAUACCUGCAGGACUACGAACUUUCUUCCUUCAUCGGAGUGUGGUAGGACAAAUGUUAAACAAACUGAACGGGCCCCAACGAUCCAACAGUUACCAGACAUUAUUCACUCAUACAAUUGACUCAGAGGAAGCUCAUGUCUUUAUCCUGUCUUCCUUCUCUCACCCCAACCGGUCGCAGCAGAUGGC
This is a long non-coding RNA of Oreochromis aureus, 488 nucleotides long. RefSeq lists it as uncharacterized. NCBI's taxonomy places the organism in Eukaryota, Metazoa, Chordata, Actinopteri, Cichliformes, Cichlidae. The record is from RefSeq and is a predicted model, not a curated record. The transcript is spliced from 3 exons.